UGCCAGCAGCCGCGGUAAUACGGAGGGUGCAAGCGUUAUCCGGAUUUAUUAGGUUUAAAGGGUCCGUAGGCGGUCUGAUAAGUCAGAGGUGAAAUCCUGCAGCUCAACUGUAGCAUUGCCUUUGAUACUGUUAGACUUGAGUUAUUGUGAAGUAGUUAGAAUGUGUAGUGUAGCGGUGAAAUGCAUAGAUAUUACACAGAAUACCGAUUGCGAAAGCAGAUUACUAACAAUAUACUGACGCUGAGGGACGAAAGCGUGGGUAGCGAACAGGAUUAGAUA
RNAcentral lists this ribosomal RNA (279 nucleotides) under uncultured bacterium. RNAcentral describes it as "partial 16S ribosomal RNA". It matches the Rfam family "Bacterial small subunit ribosomal RNA", at positions 506 to 784 of the family's 1533-position model. The record is from RNAcentral.